RNAcentral lists this ribosomal RNA (330 nucleotides) under Triticum aestivum (bread wheat). RNAcentral's name for it is "partial small subunit ribosomal RNA". The record is from RNAcentral. Lineage: Eukaryota; Viridiplantae; Streptophyta; Magnoliopsida; Poales; Poaceae.
AUGAUAUGUGAAAAGCGUGUGCUAGAUGUGGCCCCUAUCCAGCGUUUUGAUCUGUCCACUCAGGUGCUUUUGUCUAGGUUGAAUCCUAUGCAAGUUUUUGGAGCAGUUGGGUUCCAGAACAAACGACUAGGUAUUCCCAAAGAGGUCAUUCCACUGGUGGCUAGCAUAAUAUCUUCAUGUCGGGACAACGAUCCAAGCAAGCAACCAUCAUUCUACCAGCUCUUGUCAUCGCUGAAGAAAUUACAGUGGUUACAUUGUUACGGAAAGCCUAUGACAAUUUGCGAGUGUUGUUUGUGCAAUAUACUGGUUUUAUGGCAGGUGCAUGUAUGA